RNAcentral lists this transfer RNA (82 nucleotides) under Lysobacteraceae bacterium. RNAcentral's name for it is "Xanthomonadaceae bacterium (terrestrial metagenome) tRNA-Lys". It matches the Rfam family "tRNA". From Rfam's summary of the family: Transfer RNA (tRNA) molecules are approximately 80 nucleotides in length. Their secondary structure includes four short double-helical elements and three loops (D, anti-codon, and T loops). Lineage: Bacteria; Pseudomonadati; Pseudomonadota; Gammaproteobacteria; Lysobacterales; Lysobacteraceae. The record is from RNAcentral.
GGGUCGUUAGCUCAGUCGGUAGANNUAGAGCAUCGGACUUUUAAUCCGCUGGUCGUGGGUUCGAUUCCCACACGACCCACCA